This 465-nucleotide ribosomal RNA is filed under the name uncultured bacterium. RNAcentral's name for it is "partial 16S ribosomal RNA". It matches the Rfam family "Bacterial small subunit ribosomal RNA", at positions 28 to 507 of the family's 1533-position model. The record is from RNAcentral.
GAUGAACGCUGGCGGCGUGCUUAACACAUGCAAGUCGAACGGAAAGGCUCCUGCUUGCGGGGGUCCUCGAGUGGCGAACGGGUGAGUAACACGUGGGUGAUCUGCCCUGCACUUCGGGAUAAGCCUGGGAAACUGGGUCUAAUACCGGGUAGGACCACAUGUUGGAUGGUGUGGUGGAAAGUUUUUCGGUGUGGGAUGAGCUCGCGGCCUAUCAGCUUGUUGGUGGGGUAAUGGCCUACCAAGGCGUCGACGGGUAGCCGGCCUGAGAGGGUGUACGGCCACACUGGGACUGAGAUAAGACACAGACUACUACGGGAGGCAGCGGUGCGGUAGAGUGCACAAUGGGCGCAAGCCUGAUGUAGCGAAGCCGCGUGGGGGAUGACGGCCUUCGGGUUGGAAACUACAUUCGUUAGGGACGAAGCGCAAGUGACGGUACCUGGAGAAGAAGCACCGGCUAACUACGUG